RNAcentral lists this long non-coding RNA (235 nucleotides) under Trifolium pratense (red clover). RNAcentral's name for it is "long non-coding RNA (TPRA_LNC003158)". The record is from RNAcentral. Lineage: Eukaryota; Viridiplantae; Streptophyta; Magnoliopsida; Fabales; Fabaceae.
GAAUUUGGAGAUGAGUGCCUCUGUGAUAUGUUUUUCUGGCUAUGUUAUAUAUUUUCAACUAUUGCUUGGCUUAAUUUGGCAAUCUGAACUUAGAUUUGAACAUUUCUGCAUUCAUGCUUCUCUGAAAGCUUGGGCGAGAUUAUCGGUAUUCAUCAUUGGGAUAUAAUUGAUUAUUUUCUUUAUAUGUAUAUCCCGAACCUGAGUGCACGAUUUUGGAAUGAUUCUUUGCCCUUCC